GAUGAACGCUGACGGCGUGCUUAACACAUGCAAGUCGAACGAGAAGUGAAGACGGAAACCUUCGGGCGGAAGGCUUUAUUUCGAGUGGCGGACGGGUGAGUAACGCGUGGGUAACCUGCCUCAUACAGGGGGAUAACAGUUGGAAACGACUGUUAAUACCGCAUAAGACCACAGCACCGCAUGGUGCGGGGGUAAAAACUCCGGUGGUAUGAGAUGGACCCGCGUUCGAUUAGCCAGUUGGCGGGGUAACGGCCCACCAAAGCGACGAUCGAUAGCCGAUCUGAGAGGAUGACCGGCCACAUUGGGACUGAGACACGGCCCAAACUCCUACGGGAGGCAGCAGUGGGGAAUAUUGCACAAUGGGGGAAACCCUGAUGCAGCGACGCCGCGUGAGUGAAGAAGUAUUUCGGUAUGUAAAGCUCUAUCAGCAGGGAAGAAAAUGACGGUACCUGAGUAAGAAGCCCCGGCUAACUACGUG
Molecule: ribosomal RNA, 478 nt
Filed under: uncultured bacterium
Lineage: Bacteria
Description: partial 16S ribosomal RNA
Rfam family: Bacterial small subunit ribosomal RNA
Source: RNAcentral